This 465-nucleotide ribosomal RNA is filed under the name Vreelandella stevensii. RNAcentral describes it as "partial 16S ribosomal RNA". It matches the Rfam family "Bacterial small subunit ribosomal RNA", at positions 338 to 795 of the family's 1533-position model. Lineage: Bacteria; Pseudomonadati; Pseudomonadota; Gammaproteobacteria; Oceanospirillales; Halomonadaceae. The record is from RNAcentral.
CCUACGGGAGGCAGCAGUGGGGAAUAUUGGACAAUGGGCGAAAGCCUGAUCCAGCCAUGCUGCGUGUGUGAAGAAGGCCUUCGGGUUGUAAAGCACUUUCAGUGGGGAAGAAAGCCUUGGGGCUAAUACCCUCGAGGAAGGACAUCACCCACAGAAGAAGCACCGGCUAACUCCGUGCCAGCAGCCGCGGUAAUACGGAGGGUGCGAGCGUUAAUCGGAAUUACUGGGCGUAAAGCGCGCGUAGGCGGUCUGAUAAGCCGGUUGUGAAAGCCCCGGGCUCAACCUGGGAACGGCAUCCGGAACUGUCAGGCUAGAGUGCAGGAGAGGAAGGUAGAAUUCCCGGUGUAGCGGUGAAAUGCGUAGAGAUCGGGAGGAAUACCAGUGGCGAAGGCGGCCUUCUGGACUGACACUGACGCUGAGGUGCGAAAGCGUGGGUAGCAAACAGGAUUAGAUACCCCGGUAGUC